Acinonyx jubatus (cheetah) is the source of this 2553-nucleotide RNA transcript. It is a transcript of the gene named zinc finger protein 653, with no coding region annotated. The transcript has 8 exons. Lineage: Eukaryota; Metazoa; Chordata; Mammalia; Carnivora; Felidae. The record is from RefSeq and is a predicted model, not a curated record.
AACCAGGGAGGGGGGGAUGGCGGAGCGGGCGCCGGAGCCCGAGGCGGAGGCGGAGGCUGAGGCGGACGCAGGCGGGGAGGCGGCGGCCGAGGAGGGCGCGGCGGGCCGCAAGGCGCGGGGUCGGCCGCGGCUCACGGAAUCGGACCGAGCCCGGCGGCGGCUCGAGUCCCGGAAGAAGUACGACGUGAGGCGUGUGUACCUGGGCGAGGCGCACGGGCCCUGGGUGGACCUGCGGCGCCGCAGCGGCUGGAGCGACGCCAAGCUCGCAGCCUAUCUCAUCUCGCUGGAGCGCGGCCAGCGUAGCGGCCGCCACGGGAAGCCUUGGGAGCAGGUCCCCAAAAAGCCAAAGCGGAAGAAAAGGAGGCGACGCAACGUGAACUGCCUGAAGAACGUGGUGAUCUGGUACGAGGACCACAAGCACCGCUGCCCGUACGAGCCGCACCUGGCCGAGCUGGACCCCACCUUCGGCCUGUACACCACAGCCGUGUGGCAGUGCGAGGCCGGCCACCGCUACUUCCAAGACCUGCACUCGCCCCUGAAGCCACUCAGUGAUUCAGACGCCGACAGCGACAAAGUGGGCAAUGGCCUGGCGGCCAGCAGCUCCGACCCUUCUAGUUCCGGCUCCGGUUCUGACUCGGAGGAGCCCCCUGAGGGCCCGCCGGCCAAGGGAGCGGCCGUGGCGGCGGCGGCGGUGACCCCCUCCAGCCCGGCGGGCAGCAGCGGGCUCAUCACUCAGGAGGGCGUGCACAUCCCCUUCGACGUCCACCACGUGGAGAGCCUGGCGGAGCAGGGCGCCCCGCUGUGCCCCAACCCGGCGGGCAGUGGGCCCGAAGCCCUGGAGACGGUGGUGUGUGUGCCGGUGCCCGUGCAAGUGGGCCCGGGCCCCGGCACCCUCUUUGAGAACGUGCCCCAGGAGGCGCUGGGCGAGGUGGUGGCCGGCUGUCCCGUGCCAGGCAUGGUGCCCGGCUCGCAGGUGAUCAUUAUCGCAGGCCCCGGCUACGACGCCCUCACGGCCGAGGGCAUCCACCUCAACGUGGCAGCAGGCAGCGGUGCCCCCGGCGGGGGCCUGGGGGACGAAGUGCCCUGUGCCGUGAUGGAGGGCGUAGCAGCCUACACCCAGACGGAGCCCGAGGGCAGCCAGCCCAGCACCAUGGACCCUGCCGCCGUGGCAGGCAUCGAGACCAAGAAAGAGAAGGAGGACCUGUAUGUGCUCAAGAAGGAGGAGAAGGAGGAGCCUGUGGCCCCAGAGCUGGCGGCGGCAGUGCCUGAGAGCGCAGAGCCCGAAGCCGAGGCAGACGGGGAGGAGCUGGACGGCAGUGACAUGUCGGCCAUCAUCUAUGAGAUCCCCAAGGAGCCCGAGAAGAGGCGGCGGAGCAAGCGCACUCGGGUGAUGGAUGCCGACGGCCUGCUAGAGAUGUUCCACUGCCCCUACGAGGGCUGCAGCCAGGUCUAUGUGGCCCUCAGCAGUUUCCAGCUUCUCACCGACCCUGCCUCAGCCACAGGGCACCAGGCGUCACCUCGCUGCCUUCCCCUCCUGCUCUCCAGUGACUUGUCCUGCCUUCUCAACCAGCCUCUCAACUCCUCCUGCCUUUACCCAGGCCACCUUCUCGGCUCAGGAUGUCCCUCCCCCAGGAAGCCCACCCUAGUCCCCCAGGGCGGGUGGGGCCUUUGAGCCCCGGAUGACCGCACCACCAGGACACACCUGUAGUUUGUCCUCUGGAGCCUGGACGGGACGCCCCAAGGGCAGAGCCAGGGUCUCGUCACGUUCCCACUGGUGGCAGGAGGCGGCACCAGUGGCCCUUUGCAUUUGCCGAGUUUUGUUUUCAUUAAGCAUGUAUUGAGCACCCACCAGGUGCCAGGCCCGGUGCCGGGCACUUGGAGCUGCAGGGGUGCUGCAGGGGUGAGUUAAAGAAUAAAAGAACAAAGGAAUGAAUGACUCGGGGUGGGGGGCAGGGAGAGCGAGGUGGCUGCCUGCUCCAGGCCGUGGAGACCGCGUAGCUCCAUGGCAAAGCCUACUGUGGAAGUUCACCCUGGAAUCCAGUCCAGCCCUUCCCCUGCCCACCUGUGAGACACACGCCAAACUGGAAGCCUCUGGAGCCUCAUCCCCCAUCCACAAAGUGGGCAAAGGGCGGGGCCCCAGCACAGGGUUAUGACAAGGCUGACUGAUGCCCCAGCCCAGGCCCUGGCUGCAGCAGGUGCACAGUGAAGUGGCAGCAGAUUCCAGUUGUGCUCCGGGGUCCCUGCUCGGAGCUGGGAGUCCCUCCCAAGGGCAGGGGCACCCAUCUUCCUCCAGGGGGGCUGGCCCCAGCCUGCCUCCCAGCUCCCCUUCUCUGUCCCCACCCUGGGGAGCCCUGGAGGUGGCCCCUGGCACCCACAGCCCCGCUCCACCCCUCUUGCCUGCAGAACCAUGUCAAUCUUGUGCAUCGGAAAGGGAAGACCAAAGUGUGUCCGCACCCCGGCUGCGGCAAGAAGUUCUAUUUAUCCAACCACCUGCGGCGGCACAUGAUCAUCCAUUCAGGUGUCCGUGAGUUCACCUGCGAAACCUGCGGCAAG